GUCGGCACCUGUGCAUUCUGCUCCUUCUCCAGGAGGCACCUGUGCUCCUGUCUGAGGAGCCCCAGCAGGCCCCGCUGGUUGUGGGAGGCACACUGUGGAUGAAGGAGGUGCUGUGCACACAGAGCCAGUCGCGCGGCUGCAGGGCCCGGGGGACAUGUUGUGUCUUCAUGAACCAUGGAGGUCCCUCACCUUCCAGGGAGGAUGUCGUCACAGAAUCCCUGCCAGGCCCUUGCUGCUUCCACAAGAACAAGCUUCUGACUUUAAGGUGUAGGAGACACUCACCGUCAUGGAUGGAUGCCGCAGAGUCCUGUUGUCCUCCUCUGGGUUCAGUGACAGCAAAUGCAGUACAAGGAGAAAGGAAGGAAGACUGAUGCUUGUGACACAUCCCUGGUGGCCAUGUGGAGAGGUGAAUAGAACAAUCUAGAACCAGUUGUUCACUGCGUUCAAUUAUGUGAAGCACGUAACGUGUCUUAUUUUCUUUGUGCAAAUUGUGUAACUGAGACACCAUGGGAUGGAUUUUACGAUGUCAGAUUUGCUCGGC
This 541-nucleotide long non-coding RNA is filed under the name Callithrix jacchus (white-tufted-ear marmoset). RNAcentral's name for it is "lncRNA (ENSCJAG00000084990.1)". Lineage: Eukaryota; Metazoa; Chordata; Mammalia; Primates; Cebidae. The record is from RNAcentral.